UCAUGUGGCUUAUUGGAAAGAAUCUGACAAGUUGUUGCUAAUUGGCCUGCCUGCUGAAGAAGUUCCUCUUCCUCGUCUAAGGAACAUGAUAGAAAAUGUCAUCCGAACCUUAAAAUUUAUGUAUGGUUCUUUAGAUAGUAUCAUGAAGGAAUUUUCUGUGAUUGUGUCAUCUGGGAAAAUUAUCUAGUUUGCAGUGUUCUCUAGAGGAACUGCUGAGGAGGCACAUCCCUGUCAAACCUGAUUGCUUACCAACAUUUUCCAGAUAAGUGAGCUACAAAGAGCUGGGCAUCCAUAAAUAGUGCUUUUACCUUUUACUAAUAAGGAAAUUUUUAACCAAUGAAGAGUAAGAAUGUGGUUAUGAACUGCCUCUUUAAGUUUACUCAACAGAAGAAAACUUUGCCAUAUUUUGCCCUAAUUGAAGCUUUCUGUUUUCAUACAACCAGAGAUUAUCAAAGAUUAAAUUUUUGCAAUGAUUUUCAUACAUGAAAAUAGUCCAUUGGAGUUGUCCUACAAAUUCCAUUAGACUGGGAACAGAGGGACUUAAUUUCUCUUUCAUCUUGAAAUUUAUCUUCCAUUGAUAGUGGAAGUAUCUUUUUGAUGGCAGCAAAUUUAACUCUUUUCUACUUCAAGUGAGAAUUUAAA
This 642-nucleotide small RNA is filed under the name Pan troglodytes (chimpanzee). Its description in RNAcentral is "retained intron". Lineage: Eukaryota; Metazoa; Chordata; Mammalia; Primates; Hominidae. The record is from RNAcentral.